Molecule: unclassified non-coding RNA, 326 nt
Filed under: Hevea brasiliensis (rubber tree)
Lineage: Eukaryota; Viridiplantae; Streptophyta; Magnoliopsida; Malpighiales; Euphorbiaceae
Source: RNAcentral
CCGGCGUAGCCGCCAGCACCGGCGUCAGGUACAAAGACGCCAAUGCACAUUCGCCCGGCAGUUCUGAAAGAUGCAUCGAAGGCCUGCGACACCCUGCGGCGCUCGAUUGCGGAACUAUGCGUCGCCGAUCAUGGCAACGACAAAGCGAUACUCGGCCAGUGGCUGGCCAANNNNNNNNNCCGAGGUUUUCGCGUCAUGGCUCAAGGAUACUGGCAACACCGUGCUGGUGGCCGACCACAACGGGCUGAUCGCCGCUGUGGGUGUGGUCAACAACGACGGCGAGAUCACGUGCAACUAUGUGUCGCCCGAUUUUCGUUUUCAGGGCG